ACGUUGGACCGGAUGGUCGCUGUCCUGGUUGUGGACGCCGGGGUUACCCGGGCUGCACGGCCAGGAGAGAGGAAAGUCCGAACUCCACAGAGCAGUGUGCCGGAUAACGUCCGGGAGGGUGGCUUCAAGGCCAUUCGACGGAAAGUGCCACAGAGAAUAUACCGCCACGGGCGCAAGCCUGAGGUAAGGGUGAAAAGGUGCGGUAAGAGCGCACCGCCCGGGCAGCAAUGCACGGGGCAUGGCAAACCCCACAUGGAGCAAGACCAAAUAGGGAAGGAAUUCCGGAUAGCAAUAUCCAGAAUGCGUCUCGGCUCGAGGCGCCAAACUUUCGGGUAGGUCGCUUGAGCCGUUCAGCGAUGACCGGCCUAGAGGAAUGACCGUCACGGCGGUAACGCCGUACAGAAUUCGGCUUAUAGGUCCAGCAUCACU
RNAcentral lists this RNase P RNA (429 nucleotides) under Terriglobia bacterium. RNAcentral describes it as "RNase P RNA component class A". It matches the Rfam family "Bacterial RNase P class A". From Rfam's summary of the family: Ribonuclease P (RNase P) is a ubiquitous endoribonuclease, found in archaea, bacteria and eukarya as well as chloroplasts and mitochondria. Its best characterised activity is the generation of mature 5'-ends of tRNAs by cleaving the 5'-leader elements of precursor-tRNAs. Lineage: Bacteria; Pseudomonadati; Acidobacteriota; Terriglobia. The record is from RNAcentral.